This is a non-coding RNA of Pelobates cultripes (western spadefoot toad), 227 nucleotides long. Lineage: Eukaryota; Metazoa; Chordata; Amphibia; Anura; Pelobatidae. The record is from the annotation of a GenBank genome assembly.
GUACUGAGAUGCUCUCCUAACUCCGUUUUGUGUGUCUCGUGUGGAUCUUGUUCUCAGGACUCUAAUGCCCGUGGUGGGGGGUAGUAAGUGUACUUUGCUUCUUCCCUUCUUUCCCUUACCUGUGAUCUGUGUCUGUAUAGAGUCCCAUACAGUCCAUGUUCCUGUCCAUUAUCCUGUGUUAGAUUUGCUGUGUUUCCCUCCUUUUCACUUAUUAUUUUUGUUCGUGU